CCCUUAGAUGUUCUGGGCCGCACGCGCGCUACACUGAUGCAGGCAGCAAGUGGAUUCAAUGGCUCUUUCUUCUUUUGGAGGGGAGCGUUGCAGCCUUGGCCGAGAGGCCUGGGUAAUCUUGGGGAAACUGCAUCGUGCUGGGGCUUGACGAUUGAAAUUAUUUGUCACAAACGAGGAAUUCCUAGUAAGUGCAAGUCAUAAGCUUGCGCUGACUACGUCCCUGCCCUUUGUACACACCGCCCGUCGCUACUACCGAUUGAAUGAUUUAGUGAGGACUUCGGACUGGGACCGAUGCGGCUUUCGGGCUGCGUCGGUAUUCUGGAAAGAUGUCCAAACUGUAUCAUUUAGAGGAAGUAAAAGUCGUANCA
RNAcentral lists this ribosomal RNA (368 nucleotides) under uncultured eukaryote. Its description in RNAcentral is "partial 18S ribosomal RNA". It matches the Rfam family "Eukaryotic small subunit ribosomal RNA", at positions 1470 to 1796 of the family's 1831-position model. The record is from RNAcentral.